This 827-nucleotide ribosomal RNA is filed under the name uncultured eukaryote. Its description in RNAcentral is "SSU rRNA". It matches the Rfam family "Eukaryotic small subunit ribosomal RNA", at positions 712 to 1426 of the family's 1831-position model. The record is from RNAcentral.
CGGUGUUUAACUGGCGUGAUGUGGGACGUCCUACCGGUGGGCUUAGCCUCGCGAGGGGCGGCCCAACUAAUAUCCCGUCGCGGUGCUCUUUACUGAGUGUCGAGUCGGGCCGGUACGUUUACUUUGAACAAAUUAGGGUGCUUAAAGCAGGCUAUCCUCGCCUGAAUACUGCGUGUAUGGAAUAAUGGAAUAGGACCUCGGUUCUAUUUUGUUGGUUUUCGGAACCCCGAGGUAAUGAUUAAUAGGGACAGAUGGGGGCAUUCGUAUUGCGACGUUAGAGGUGAAAUUCUUGGAUCGUCGCAAGACGGACAAGAAGCGAAAGCAUUUGCCAAAAAUGUUUUCAUUAAAUCAAAAACGAAAGUUAGAGGUUCGAAGGCGAUCAGAUACCGCCCUAGUUCUAACCAUAAACGAUGCCAGCUAGCGAUCCGCCGAAGUUCCUCCGAUGACUCGGGCGGGCAGCUUCCGGGAAACCAAAGCUUUUGGGUUCCGGGGGAAGUAUGGGUUGCAAAGCUGAAACUUAAAGGGAAUUGACGGAAGGGCACCACCCAGGAGUGGAGCACUGCGGCUUAAUUUGACUCAACACGGGAAACCCUCACCAGGCCCAGACACCGGAAGGAUUGACAGAUUGAUAGCUCUUUUUUGAUUCGGUGGGUGGUGGUGCAUGGCCGUUCUUAGUUGGUGGAGCGAUUUGUCUGGUUAAUUCCGAUAACGAACGAGACUCUAGCCUGCUAAAUAGGCGUACCUUAUGGUAUCGCGAAGGCCCCCGGCUUCGGCCGGUGGGUUUUUACUACCAACGUACAAACAAAUCUUCUUAGAGGGACAGGCGG